GACGAACGCUGGCGGCGUGCUUAACACAUGCAAGUCGAACGGAAAGGCCCCUUCGGGGGUACUCGAGUGGCGAACAGGUGAGUAACACGUGAGUAACCUGCCCUUGACUUCGGGAUAACUUCAGGAAACUGGGGCUAAUACCGGAUAGGAAUCCUUGCUGCAUGGUGGGGGUUGGAAAGCUUCGGCGGUUUUGGAUGGACUCGCGGCUUAUCAGCUUGUUGGUGGGGUAGUGGCUUACCCAGGCUUUGACGGGUAGCCGGCCUGAGAGGGCGACCGGCCACAUUGGGACUGAGAUACGGCCCAGACUCCUACGGGAGGCAGCAGUGGGGAAUAUUGCACAAUGGGCGGAAGCCUGAUGCAGCAACGCCGCGUGCGGGAUGACGGCCUUCGGGUUGUAAACCGCUUUCAGCAGGGGCGAAGCUUGUGGUGACGGUACCUGCAGAAGAAGCACCGGCUAACUACGUG
RNAcentral lists this ribosomal RNA (465 nucleotides) under uncultured bacterium. RNAcentral's name for it is "partial 16S ribosomal RNA". It matches the Rfam family "Bacterial small subunit ribosomal RNA", at positions 28 to 507 of the family's 1533-position model. The record is from RNAcentral.